GAAGCACAAAAGACUGUUUGAAAAGGCAAACUGAGUUGAGACCUAAAGGUGUACCACAAUCACAUCCAAAGUACAUCAGUCUUGAAUGUUGUGAAGGCUCUGUAGUACAUGAUAAAGAAGAAUGAACCAGCCCUUUGUGCUAAAAGUCAUCCUGCUGGACAAUACCGCCCAAAGGCUGACUCUGCCUAAUGGAUUACCAGACACAGUUGAAGAACUUAUGGAAGAAGUCAUACGCCAAUGUGGACUUGCAUCGAAUAUCAGACUUCAAUUCAUGGACCCACUGUUUGGAAAUGAGUACAUGAAUCUUACAAACAUCAACGAACUCCAGGACAGAGGGACUAUUAGAGUGAUGAGUGAUGUGUCAGAAGAAUCAGACUCGGUGACCUUAGUACUUUCAGAUGUAUCAUCCAUAUCUUCAUUGCCUGUGACAGAAUCAUCGUCCUUAGCAUCCCUUCCUCUGUCAGAGUCAUCAUCACAACUUUCAUUUCCUCUGUCACAAUCAUCUCCAUUAGUUUCAAUACCUAUUUCAGAAGCAGCAACCUCUGCCCGAGCAGAUGAGACCUCUCUUUCCAGCUGUUUUACUGAGGACACAGACAUUCUUUCAUCGCCCCAGUCAGACCUUGGGGUUGGAAAAUCAUCCUGGCCACCCACAUUUAUUGUGCCAGUUUUUUCAUAUGACAGUGAGCUGAAACUUGAAAAAGGAAAUGCCAUGUACAAGGAAAAUGGAACUUUACUCCUGCC
Molecule: long non-coding RNA, 741 nt
Organism: Amphiprion ocellaris (clown anemonefish)
Lineage: Eukaryota; Metazoa; Chordata; Actinopteri; Pomacentridae
Source: Ensembl